GAUGAAGAACGCAGCGAAAUGCGAUACUUGGUGUGAAUUGCAGAAUCCCGUGAACCAUCGAGUCUUUGAACGCAAGUUGCGCCCGAAGCCACUAGGCCGAGGGCACGCCUGCCUGGGCGUCACACGCCGUUGCCCCCCCAUCUACUCCUUCGGGAUUGCGGGGGGGCGAAUGAUGGCCUCCCGUGCGCCUAGCCGCGCGGUUGGCAUAAAUACCAAGUCCUCGGCGACGCACGCCACGACAAUCGGUGGUUGCGAAACCUCGGUUGCCCGUCGUGUGCGUUCGUCGCGCAUCGAGGGCUCGAAAAAAUGCUCGGCUCCGGCUGGGCUUUCAACGCGACCCCAGGUCAGGCGGGGUUACCCGCUGAAUUUAAGCAUAUCAAUAAGCGGAGGA
This 391-nucleotide unclassified non-coding RNA is filed under the name soil metagenome. RNAcentral's name for it is "partial contains 5.8S ribosomal RNA, internal transcribed spacer 2, and large subunit ribosomal RNA". The stretch from base 1 to 122 matches the Rfam family "5.8S ribosomal RNA", at positions 35 to 154 of the family's 154-position model. The record is from RNAcentral.